RNAcentral lists this ribosomal RNA (378 nucleotides) under uncultured bacterium. Its description in RNAcentral is "bacterial SSU rRNA". It matches the Rfam family "Bacterial small subunit ribosomal RNA", at positions 521 to 896 of the family's 1533-position model. The record is from RNAcentral.
UAACACGUAGGGGGCGAGCGUUGUCCGGAUUUAUUGGGCGUAAAGAGCUCGUAGGCGGCCGUGCAAGUCGGACGUGAAAACCCAGAGCUCAACUCUGGGAUGCCGUUCGAUACUGCUCGGCUAGAGGCAGGUAGGGGAAAGUGGAAUACCUGGUGUAGCGGUGAAAUGCGUAGAUAUCAGGUGGAACACCGGUGGCGAAGGCGGCUUUCUGGGCCUCGCCUGACGCUGAGGAGCGAAAGCUGGGGGAGCAAACAGGAUUAGAUACCCUGGUAGUCCCAGCCGUAAACGAUGGGUGCUAGGUGUGGGGUCCUAUCGACGGAUUCUGUGCCGCAGCUAACGCAUUAAGCACCCCGCCUGGGGAGUACGGCCGCAAGGCUA